This 449-nucleotide ribosomal RNA is filed under the name uncultured bacterium. RNAcentral's name for it is "partial 16S ribosomal RNA". It matches the Rfam family "Bacterial small subunit ribosomal RNA", at positions 29 to 523 of the family's 1533-position model. The record is from RNAcentral.
AACGAACGCUGGCGGCAUGCCUAACACAUGCAAGUCGAACGAGAUCUUCGGGUCUAGUGGCACACGGGUGCGCAACGCGUGGGAAUCUGCCCUUUGGUUCGGAAUAACAGUUGGAAACGACUGCUAAUACCGGAUGAUGACGAAAGUCCAAAGAUUUAUCGCCAGAGGAUGAGCCCGCGUAGGAUUAGCUAGUUGGUGUGGUAAAGGCGCACCAAGGCGACGAUCCUUAGCUGGUCUGAGAGGAUGAUCAGCCACACUGGGACUGAGACACGGCCCAGACUCCUACGGGAGGCAGCAGUGGGGAAUAUUGGACAAUGGGCGAAAGCCUGAUCCAGCAAUGCCGCGUGAGUGAUGAAGGCCUUAGGGUUGUAAAGCUCCUUUACCCGGGAUGAUAAUGACAGUACCGGGAGAAUAAGCUCCGGCUAACUCCGUGCCAGCCGCCGCGGUAA